UAGACAUUGUACUGAUCUUUUAAGAGGGAUCCUAAAAAUGUCCUGAUAAUUAAUUUCUUUUUAAGUGUGCAGAAAAUGGAAAUUACAACAGAGAUUAUUAGUUUGCAGCAGUAUUCAGAAAUCACAGAAAGCAGCCACUUUGUCCUGAUGCUUGCUGAUGAUAUGGCCUGCAAUCCUAGAAAUCACAAACCAGGUUAACAUUGCUUGACUCCUGGUGAUAUGAACUCUCAGCCCUGAUUUCUCCAUGGAAGAUGAGAUGAUGAGCAGAAUGAUAA
RNAcentral lists this long non-coding RNA (275 nucleotides) under Chinchilla lanigera (long-tailed chinchilla). Its description in RNAcentral is "lncRNA (ENSCLAG00000025787.1)". The record is from RNAcentral. Lineage: Eukaryota; Metazoa; Chordata; Mammalia; Rodentia; Chinchillidae.